This 501-nucleotide ribosomal RNA is filed under the name uncultured bacterium. Its description in RNAcentral is "partial 16S ribosomal RNA". It matches the Rfam family "Bacterial small subunit ribosomal RNA", at positions 30 to 523 of the family's 1533-position model. The record is from RNAcentral.
AUUGAACGCUGGCGGCAUGCCUUACACAUGCAAGUCGAACGGCAGCACGGGUGCUUGCACCUGGUGGCGAGUGGCGAACGGGUGAGUAAUAUAUCGGAACGUACCUUAUUGUGGGGGAUAACGCAGCGAAAGCUGUGAUAAUACCGCAUAAUCCCUGAGGGGGAAAGCGGGGGACCGUAAGGCCUCGCGCAAUUAGAGCGGCCGAUACCUGAUUAGCUAGUUGGUGAGGUAAAGGCUCACCAAGGCAACGAUCAGUAGCUGGUCUGAGAGGACGAUCAGCCACACUGGGACUGAGACACGGCCCAGACUCCUACGGGAGGCAGCAGUGGGGAAUUUUGGACAAUGGGGGCAACCCUGAUCCAGCAAUGCCGCGUGAGUGAAGAAGGCCUUCGGGUUGUAAAGCUCUUUUGUCAGGGAAGAAACAGCAGCUCUAACACAGUUUGCGAAUGACGGUACCUGAAGAAUAAGCACCGGCUAACUACGUGCCAGCAGCCGCCGUAA